This 200-nucleotide unclassified non-coding RNA is filed under the name soil metagenome. RNAcentral's name for it is "partial contains internal transcribed spacer 2 and large subunit ribosomal RNA". The record is from RNAcentral.
UGCCCGUUCGAGCGUCAUUACACCACUCAAGCCUCGCUUGGUAUUGGGCACCGGGAGACCCCCGCGCCCCUAUUUCACCGGCUGGACGGUUCGAAUCUCAGCGUUGUGGUUAUUCAAUUCGCUGGCGAGGAGACCGGGCGCGCCGUUAAACCACAUCACAGGUUGACCUCGGAUCGGGUAGGGAUACCCGCUGAACUUAA